UACGUAGGUGACAAGCGUUGUCCGGAUUUACUGGGCGUAAAGAGCGCGCAGGCGGUCGUUCAAGUCGAGUGUGAAAGCCCCCGGCUCAACUGGGGAGGGUCAUUCGAUACUGAUCGACUCGAAGGCAGGAGGGGGUAGUGGAAUUCCCGGUGUAGUGGUGAAAUGCGUAGAUAUCGGGAGGAACACCAGUGGCGAAGGCGACUACCUGGCCUGUUCUUGACGCUGAGGCGCGAAAGCUAGGGUAGCAAACGGG
RNAcentral lists this ribosomal RNA (253 nucleotides) under uncultured bacterium. RNAcentral's name for it is "partial 16S ribosomal RNA". It matches the Rfam family "Bacterial small subunit ribosomal RNA", at positions 524 to 776 of the family's 1533-position model. The record is from RNAcentral.